GAAAGAAGUAGCUUAACACAAAGCGUAACACUGAAAAUGUUAAGAUAGCGCACAACUCUCAUUCAC
This 66-nucleotide transfer RNA is filed under the name Anodonta anatina. RNAcentral's name for it is "tRNA-Phe". The record is from RNAcentral. Lineage: Eukaryota; Metazoa; Mollusca; Bivalvia; Unionida; Unionidae.